This 509-nucleotide ribosomal RNA is filed under the name uncultured bacterium. RNAcentral describes it as "bacterial SSU rRNA". It matches the Rfam family "Bacterial small subunit ribosomal RNA", at positions 370 to 896 of the family's 1533-position model. The record is from RNAcentral.
AAUGGGCGCAAGCCUGAUGCAGCGACGCCGCGUGGGUGAAGAAGGUCUCGGAUCGUAAAGCCCUUUUCUGCGUGACGAGGAAGGACGGUAGCGCAGGAAUAAGUCUCGGCUAACUACGUGCCAGCAGCCGCGGUAAAACGUAGGAGACAAACGUUAUCCGGAGUUACUGGGCGUAAAGGGCGUGCAGGUGGUCUGUUAAGUCUGGCGUGAAAGCUCCCGGCUAAACCGGGAGAGGUCGUUGGAUACUGGCGGACUAGAGGACGGUAGAGGCGUGUGGAAUUCCGGGUGUAGUGGUGAAAUGCGUAGAGAUCCGGAGGAACACCAGUGGCGAAGGCGACACGCUGGGCCGUACCUGACACUAAGACGCGACAGCAUGGGGAGCGAACGGGAUUAGAAACCCUGGUAGUCCACGCCCUAAACGAUGGGUACUAGACGUCGGGAAGCUUGUCUUCUUGGUGUCGCAGCUAACGCAAUAAGUACCCCGCCUGGGGAGUACGGUCGCAAGAUUA